This is a non-coding RNA of Paramuricea clavata, 1049 nucleotides long. The record is from the annotation of a GenBank genome assembly. Lineage: Eukaryota; Metazoa; Cnidaria; Anthozoa; Malacalcyonacea; Plexauridae.
UCCGGACAUAAACCAGUCAAAUUAAGGGUCAAAAAAUUUUUUCUGUACAAAUUCCUUUUAAAACAUGCGUAAAACCCUUAUUUUUGGACCAAUAUCUGUAAAAUGUGGGUCUAUAAAUCCCUGUAAGUUACUUAAUAACUCUACAUUCUAUCAUUUAAAAUCUUUGAUUGCCCUGCCAAUCCAGAUGAUUCGUCCUGCCAAUCCAGAUGAUUCGUACUUUGGGGGGUGUCACACUCCCCCAUACCCCCCCCCCUCAAGUUUCGUCCCUGCGUACAUCUAACUUUUGUAUGCCUUGAUUAAGCUGUCCCUCCCCCUGGGUCCACAAAGUCUGAGUGCAUAUUUUUGGAAAUACAACAUUUGAAUUUUUCUUAUAUUUUACUAGAAAUUAUGCACAAUAACACAGUAAAUUUUUAGUAAAAUGUUCAAGGAAAAGGAUCUUCCAACAGCAGCAGAUGACACAGCAAAUCUUUAGUAAAAUGUUCAAGGAAAAGAAACUUCCAACAGCAGCAGAUGACACAGUAAAUCUUUAGUAAAAUGUUCACGGAAAAGGAUCUUCCAACAGUGGCAGAUAACACAAUAAAUCUUUACUCUGUCUAACGCUAGAUCAUUUUACUCAUCAAGUGGAGUCUUGCAACUUAAUGGGUUAAUGAAUCAGUUGGUUAUUACAACCGAUUUCAACUUGAUUCAUAUUUAACAUUCACUUUAACCCAUUUACUGGCAGUACUCUACCACUGACGAGUAAUUAAUCGUCUGGCAUUAGACAGAGUAAAUACUAAGUAGGGCACAUUUGGGCACAUUCACAUUGCCAGUUAAUGAGUUAAUAUUAACAACAUUAAAAACAGACUAGGGUGUCAAAGGCUAGUUGGAUGCUUCUUUGCCUGCAACAAAGCAUAAAGUGGGACUGCCACAUGAUCAAUGUUAGAUUUCAGCAAUGAAGAGAAUCAAUAUUUUAAUAAAAUAAUUGUUAUUAAUAAAAUAAUUGUUAAAAUAAUCAAUAUUUUAAUAAAAUAAUUGUUGUCAAUUAAUAAAAUAAUUGUUAGAAAUUGUUG